Molecule: ribosomal RNA, 468 nt
Filed under: Escherichia coli
Lineage: Bacteria; Pseudomonadati; Pseudomonadota; Gammaproteobacteria; Enterobacterales; Enterobacteriaceae
Description: bacterial SSU rRNA
Rfam family: Bacterial small subunit ribosomal RNA
Source: RNAcentral
AAAUUGAAGAGUUUGAUCAUGGCUCAGAUUGAACGCUGGCGGCAGGCCUAACACAUGCAAGUCGAACGGUAACAGGAAGAAGCUUGCUUCUUUGCUGACGAGUGGCGGACGGGUGAGUAAUGUCUGGGAAACUGCCUGAUGGAGGGGGAUAACUACUGGAAACGGUAGCUAAUACCGCAUAACGUCGCAAGACCAAAGAGGGGGACCUUCGGGCCUCUUGCCAUCGGAUGUGCCCAGAUGGGAUUAGCUUGUUGGUGGGGUAACGGCUCACCAAGGCGACGAUCCCUAGCUGGUCUGAGAGGAUGACCAGCCACACUGGAACUGAGACACGGUCCAGACUCCUACGGGAGGCAGCAGUGGGGAAUAUUGCACAAUGGGCGCAAGCCUGAUGCAGCCAUGCCGCGUGUAUGAAGAAGGCCUUCGGGUUGUAAAGUACUUUCAGCGGGGAGGAAGGGAGUAAAGUUAAUA